Molecule: ribosomal RNA, 465 nt
Filed under: uncultured bacterium
Lineage: Bacteria
Description: partial 16S ribosomal RNA
Rfam family: Bacterial small subunit ribosomal RNA
Source: RNAcentral
GACGAACGCUGGCGGCGUGCUUAACACAUGCAAGUCGAACGGAAAGGCCCUGCUUGCAGGGUACUCGAGUGGCCAACGGGUGAGUAACACGUGGGUGAUCUGCCCUGCACUUCGGGAUAAGCAUGGGAAACUGGGUCUAGUACCGGAUAGGAGCCAUUUUUAGUGUGAUGGUUGGAAAGUUUUUUCGGUUUAGGAUGAGCUCGCGGGCUAUCAGCUUGUUGGUGGGGUAAUGGCCUACCAAGGCGGCGACGGGUAGCCGGCCUGUGAGGGUGGACGGCCACAUUGGGACUGAGAGACGGCCCAGACACCGACGCGAGGGAGCAGUGGGGAAUAUUGCACAAUGGGCGCAAGCCGGAUGCAGCGACGCCGCGUGGGGGAUGACGGCCUUCGGGUUGUAAACUCCUUUCGCUAGGGACUAAGCUUUUUGUGACGGUACCUAGAUAAGAAGCACCGGCUAACUACGUG